CCUGGUGGCUCAGAUGGUAAAGCAUCUGCCUACAGUGCAGGAGACCUGGGUUCAAUCCCUGGGUCAGGA
Molecule: transfer RNA, 69 nt
Filed under: Odocoileus virginianus texanus
Lineage: Eukaryota; Metazoa; Chordata; Mammalia; Artiodactyla; Cervidae
Also listed under: 1 other name
Rfam family: tRNA
About the family: Transfer RNA (tRNA) molecules are approximately 80 nucleotides in length. Their secondary structure includes four short double-helical elements and three loops (D, anti-codon, and T loops).
Source: Rfam by way of RNAcentral